GAUCCUGGUGAUGACAGAUGAUGACAUUGUCAGCCAAUCCCCACAGGGGAAUGAGGACAUGUCCUGCAAUUCUGAGUGGAUU
RNAcentral lists this small nucleolar RNA (82 nucleotides) under Chinchilla lanigera (long-tailed chinchilla). RNAcentral describes it as "Small nucleolar RNA SNORD96 family (ENSCLAG00000020704.1)". It matches the Rfam family "Small nucleolar RNA SNORD96 family". From Rfam's summary of the family: snoRNA Z37 is a member of the C/D class of snoRNA which contain the C (UGAUGA) and D (CUGA) box motifs. Z37 acts as a methylation guide for 5.8S ribosomal RNA. The record is from Rfam by way of RNAcentral. Lineage: Eukaryota; Metazoa; Chordata; Mammalia; Rodentia; Chinchillidae.